This 775-nucleotide ribosomal RNA is filed under the name uncultured Neocallimastigales. RNAcentral's name for it is "partial large subunit ribosomal RNA". It matches the Rfam family "Eukaryotic large subunit ribosomal RNA", at positions 18 to 625 of the family's 3401-position model. The record is from RNAcentral. Lineage: Eukaryota; Fungi; Neocallimastigomycota; Neocallimastigomycetes; Neocallimastigales.
UCAGACGAUGCGUCAUGCAUAUCAAUAAGCGGAGGAAAAGAAACUAACUAGGAUUCCCUCAGUAACGGCGAGUGAAGCGGGAAGAGCUCAAAUUUGAAAUCUUAAAGGGUUUCCCUUGACGAAUUGUAGUUUAAAGAAGUGUUUUCUGUUGGAGUUUUGGUAAAAGUUCUUUGGAAUAGGACAUCAUAGAGGGUGAGAAUCCCGUAUUUGACCAUUAUUUCCAGCUUUGUGAUACACUUUCAAAGAGUCGGAUUGUUUGGGAAUGCAGUCCAACAUGGGUGGUAAAUUUCAUCUAAAGCUAAAUAUUGGCGAGAGACCGAUAGCGAACAAGUACCGUGAGGGAAAGAUGAAAAGAACUUUGAAAAGAGAGUUAAACAGUACGUGAAAUUGUCAAAAGGGAAGCGUUUGACACCAGUGUUGUUUUCUCGAAAAUCAAUUAAAAAAGGCAGGAUUUUGUGUUGUAUUGACUUUAUCAGCUUUCUGCACUCUUUUCUUGUCUUUUUUUAAUGCACUUUUCGUUUAACAAGUCAACAUCAAUUUCUUUUGUUGUAAAAGGGUCAUUGGAAGGUGGCUUUCUUUUCGGAGAAAGUGUUUAUAGCCUUUGGCCUCUGCAAUCGGAGAGAUUGAGGUCUGCAGCGUAGAUCCUUCGGGGCUAGAUACAUUUGUGCUAAGUUAUAGCCUUUCAUAGACAACUUGUUGACUAUGAUCAGUCAUGUAGCUUACUCGCUUAUGCUAUUUUACCUACGCUUAGGAUGUUGAUCUACAGAGCGAGAGU